UUCACAGCACCCCAUUUUCUCCCUCUAAAACUGCCUACAGAGACUACGAAAUAAUAGUAAUUGAUUUCGUUUCAGAAGGUCAAAGAAAUGGAUGGUUCCGAUAAUAAGAGUGUUUCAUCAACUCAUAACAAACGCCUUUCUUUCUCAAAGGUACAGAUGAGAAUGAUCAGAGCUAUCAAGGAAGGAGUUUAAAUGUGCAAAACCCAAAGAAACCACUAACAACAACAGCAACGAAGCAUUUCAUGUCACCAACAAUAUCUGCAGCUUCAAAAGCUAACCCUCCAAGAAGGAAAAUCUUAGCUGAAAGUAAUGGAUCUCUUGAUACCCAUCUCCAAAAGACCCCAACUUUUGGUUCGAAAACCAUUUCCAGCAUUGAAUUUGCUGAAUAUGGGGAAAAUGUUCUUCUUGAUCAUCUGUCGUCAAGGCCUUAUGACCCAUUAACCAGUUACAUCUCUCCAAGGCCUUUUCUCAGAUAUAAGCCUAAUCGUCACCGGGAUAUCUUUCUCCGAAGAGAAAAUGAGGCUAGAGAGGAGACAAGUACUUGUCGUAGGGGUUCUUUAGAAUAAAAAAACGACAAAGAUGUUGAAGAUGAUUUAGGUACUUCUUUGGCUGAUGUGCUACUCAAGAAGAUGAGUGGAAGGGAAAAUGAAGAGAUUUUUAAGGAGGUAGAAGAGGAAAGAUGCUAGAGUUUAAAAGGAGUUCUGAAGAUUUUGCUUUUGUUGGUUGUUUUGGUGCUUUCUACCUCGUAUAUUCCUUCAAUGAAAUCUCCUACACCUUCACCUGUCAUGCAAGCUUUUGGCAACCCCAAGAAUGGUUUUCACAUGGUUCAAGAUCAUGUAUAUGGGUUCGUGAAGGAUAUCUUGAGUCUGGAAAUAGAAACUAUACCUUGGUUCAAAAUGGUGCUGGAAUUGAUGAAGAAGAGAUGAUGGAUUAUGAAGUGAUGGGAGAAGACGAAUACGAUGAUGAGUUGGAUGAAGCUGUAGAGAAACAAAAUGGAGAAAGUGAAGUUUUAAAGAUUGUUGAAGCUGAAGAGAAGGAAACAAUAGAAGGGUUUGGUGAAGGUGGAGAAACUGAGGUUAAGGAGAUUAUAUAUAGAGCAUGAAGAGAAAGGUGAAAUUGCCAAGUUGGGCAGCGUGGUAGAGACACAAGCUGGAGAACAUGCACCUGAAAUGGUGAAAGCAGGAGAGGUGUCUGAUGAAUGAGGUUGCAAUGAAUCAUGAAUUGCAGAUAACAGAACCUACAACAAUGUCUGGAAGUCCAUUCAUAAAUGACGGGGAUUAUUCUCUGGCUAUGCCAUCUAGCAUUCCAGAGAAUUUUGAAAAAGAAAAUGAGGUUGCAAAUGAGCCUGUCACAAAAGAAGUGGUUGAUGGCGGAAUCGGUAGCGGUUGGAAUACCACUGGUGAUCAAGCCGAAUACUGUCAGAUUCACAUAUCUAUUCUUGUGCCGUGGUUGUGUUCUCCACUUUGUUUUUAGUUAUUGCUUGUUUGACGUUGGCUUUUCACUUUAAGAGGAAGAGAAAUGCCCAAAAGGAUUCUUCUCCAGUUGUUCAACCUAGUUUUGAGCCUGUUGUAGUAGAGAAAUGCCUCCCAAUGUUUGCUUCGGAAGCAGAUAAGAACGUGGAGAAUAUUGUGCCAUUUACAAAUUCUGCUAAUUAAUUCAAUGGAAGAAAAAUACAAAGUAACAUACCAAAGACGAGUGUCGAGUGCCAUCAGUUGUGUUUCUUGGUGAAUUUGAGGUGGGAGAGAUCAGCUCUCUUAGGAGCUGUGGUAUGGAAACCAGGAUGACAGAAAGUGAAGUAAUCAGCAUCCGUUCUGUUUCUAUGGAGAAGGGGAUGGUCACCAUGACUCACUCAGUUCCUGUUCAUGUGCAGCCAGCUUUCUCAGAGAUCUCCACCAUGGAUCCCCCUCCUCCUCAUAUGGAAGAUUCACCACUGAGAAGAAAAUCGUGAAGAAGCAGGUCUGGGACAACAUCAGUUCUUUCUUUAAUAUUGUUAGUUGAUUUUUAAUUAAAUGUUUGGCUAUUUCACAUCACAUAUUUUCGCAUGUUGAUUGAACAAGUGCCAACGUUGGAAUAGCUGAAAAGAACAUUGACACUUGCCACCAAUAUAUGGCAUGCAAAUAGAUGCCUGAAAAAUCAUUAAUGCAUUGAUUUUUAUAUAUUUUUAAGAA
This is a long non-coding RNA of Populus trichocarpa (black cottonwood), 2168 nucleotides long. RefSeq lists it as uncharacterized. The record is from RefSeq and is a predicted model, not a curated record. Lineage: Eukaryota; Viridiplantae; Streptophyta; Magnoliopsida; Malpighiales; Salicaceae. The transcript has 2 exons.